Long non-coding RNA from Jatropha curcas, 787 nucleotides. RefSeq lists it as uncharacterized. The record is from RefSeq and is a predicted model, not a curated record. NCBI's taxonomy places the organism in Eukaryota, Viridiplantae, Streptophyta, Magnoliopsida, Malpighiales, Euphorbiaceae.
UUUGCUGAAAUCAUUCUUAAUGUUUCUUGUUCCUCAAUUUUGAAGUAAAAUGGUCAAUGAUCACCUCCAGAACCCUUCUAAUCCAUAUUUCCUUCAUCUUAAUGAAAAUCCCGCCCUUGUCUUAGUCUCACCUGUUCUUUUUGGUUCUAAUUACCUCUCAUGGGCCAGAGCCAUAAAGAUGGCGCUAAUUUCAAAGAACAAAAUGGUGUUUGUUAAUGGUUCAAUGCCUCCACCAUCACAGACUGAUCCAAGGUACUCAACCUAGGAGAGAUGUAACACCAUGAUUCUGUCUUGGAUCACAAAGUAUAUUGUGGAUUGAUAAGGCAUCUGAUGUAUGGAGUGAUUUGCAAGAUCGUUUCUCUCAAGGAAAAAUAUUUUUCACAGAAGAAUUUCAAUUGACUGAUGUGUUAUACAUACCAAGUUUCAGGUUUAACUUGAUUUCAGUUUGGCAUGUAGCUUACAUUUUGAAGGCAAUACUUGUGUUAUCUAGGAUUACCUCACAUCGAAGAGGAUUGGUACAGCUGAAGUUCAAGCUGGUCUCUAUAUCUUGACUUCUCCAACAAUUUCUCAUCUGGUGAAUUCUAUCUGUGCUAUUACUGCUUCUACUACUGUAGUACCACAUGUCUCAUUUCCGAUGGAGCUUGUAUGGCAUUAUAGACUUGGGCACUUAUCAAACCCAAGGUUACUUGAAAUUUUUAAGAUUUUCCUUUUGUUCAAUGUAAUUCAAAUACUAUGCCUUGUGAUUGCUGUCAUUUGGCAAAAUAAAGGAAACUAUCUUUUCCAAUAA